This 919-nucleotide ribosomal RNA is filed under the name uncultured bacterium. RNAcentral's name for it is "bacterial SSU rRNA". It matches the Rfam family "Bacterial small subunit ribosomal RNA", at positions 8 to 917 of the family's 1533-position model. The record is from RNAcentral.
AGAGUUUGAUCCUGGCUCAGAUUGAACGCUGGCGGCAUGCCUUACACAUGCAAGUCGAACGGCAGCAUGAUCUAGCUUGCUAGAUUGAUGGCGAGUGGCGAACGGGUGAGUAAUACAUCGGAACGUGCCCUGUAGUGGAGGAUAACUAGUCGAAAGAUUAGCUAAUACCGCAUACGACCUGAGGGUGAAAGUGGGGGACCGCAAGGCCUCAUGCUAUAGGAGCGGCCGAUGUCUGAUUAGCUAGUUGGUGGGGUAAAGGCCCACCAAGGCGACGAUCAGUAGCUGGUCUGAGAGGACGAUCAGCCACACUGGGACUGAGACACGGCCCAGACUCCUACGGGAGGCAGCAGUGGGGAAUUUUGGACAAUGGGCGAAAGCCUGAUCCAGCAAUGCCGCGUGUGUGAAGAAGGCCUUCGGGUUGUAAAGCACUUUUGUCCGGAAAGAAAUGGCUCUGGUUAAUACCUGGGGUCGAUGACGGUACCGGAAGAAUAAGGACCGGCUAACUACGUGCCAGCAGCCGCGGUAAUACGUAGGGUCCAAGCGUUAAUCGGAAUUACUGGGCGUAAAGCGUGCGCAGGCGGUUGUGCAAGACCGAUGUGAAAUCCCCGAGCUUAACUUGGGAAUUGCAUUGGUGACUGCACGGCUAGAGUGUGUCAGAGGGGGGUAGAAUUCCACGUGUAGCAGUGAAAUGCGUAGAGAUGUGGAGGAAUACCGAUGGCGAAGGCAGCCCCCUGGGAUAACACUGACGCUCAUGCACGAAAGCGUGGGGAGCAAACAGGAUUAGAUACCCUGGUAGUCCACGCCCUAAACGAUGUCAACUAGUUGUUGGGGAUUCGUUUCCUUAGUAACGUAGCUAACGCGUGAAGUUGACCGCCUGGGGAGUACGGUCGCAAGAUUAAAACUCAAAGGAAUUGACGGG